GAUGAACGCUGGCGGCGUGCUUAACACAUGCAAGUCGAGCGAAGCAGUUAAGUUGAUUUCUUCGGAUUGAUUCUUAACUGACUGAGCGGCGGACGGGUGAGUAACGCGUGGGUGACCUGCCCCAUACCGGGGGAUAACAGCUGGAAACGGCUGCUAAUACCGCAUAAGCGCACAGAGCUGCAUGGCUCGGUGUGAAAAACUCCGGUGGUAUGGGAUGGGCCCGCGUCUGAUUAGGCAGUUGGCGGGGUAACGGCCCACCAAACCGACGAUCAGUAGCCGGCCUGAGAGGGCGACCGGCCACAUUGGGACUGAGACACGGCCCAAACUCCUACGGGAGGCAGCAGUGGGGAAUAUUGCACAAUGGGGGAAACCCUGAUGCAGCGACGCCGCGUGAGCGAAGAAGUAUUUCGGUAUGUAAAGCUCUAUCAGCAGGGAAGAUAAUGACGGUACCUGACUAAGAA
RNAcentral lists this ribosomal RNA (461 nucleotides) under uncultured bacterium. Its description in RNAcentral is "bacterial SSU rRNA". It matches the Rfam family "Bacterial small subunit ribosomal RNA", at positions 28 to 489 of the family's 1533-position model. The record is from RNAcentral.